AAAACAGCAAGAGAAAGAAACAACAACAACAGCAUAAACAAACUACAGAAGCAAUAACAAAAAAAACAAAAACAAACUAUUUUCAAUUUUUAAAUGGGUAAGAACUCGACUUUCUUGAUUGCAGGCAUUUUGAGGUUAAGAUAAAAGUUGUAUUUAGUGGGCCACUUUUGGCAAGCAGAACUGGCGCUGUGGGUUUAACCAAACGCUAUCUUGCGGCGCCCUAAGAUUACUACGACUCAUGUCAGAUACCAUGAAAGGUGUUGGUUGUUUAAGACAGCACGACGGUGGACAUGGAAGUUGCAAACCGCUAAGGAGUGUGUAAUAACUCACCUGCCGAAACAACUAGUAACUAGCCCCUAAAAUGGAUGGCGCUCAAGUCGUCUGAUGUUAUAAACAAGAAAUUGUAUAUACAGUAAAGUCUUCUAAAUUCGAACGCUCGGUGGGUAUUUUUGACAUUUCUUA
This is a non-coding RNA of Phlebotomus papatasi, 462 nucleotides long. The record is from Rfam. NCBI's taxonomy places the organism in Eukaryota, Metazoa, Arthropoda, Insecta, Diptera, Psychodidae.